RNAcentral lists this transfer RNA (70 nucleotides) under human gut metagenome. It matches the Rfam family "tRNA". Rfam says of the family: Transfer RNA (tRNA) molecules are approximately 80 nucleotides in length. The record is from RNAcentral.
CCCGUAGCGCAGUUGGUUAGAGCAGCGGUCUCAUAAACCGCCGGUCGUGGGUUCAAGUCCCUCCGGGUCC